AGUAAUGCAAAGUAUGAUAAUGAUGCAGUUUGUUAUGUUCUUUUCGUCUCUACUUCAGGGAUAGAGAUCCUUCUGUUCAAGGGGAUUAUCAAUUUAGACAUGGGUAGUGCAAGUACAAUCCCAUGGAAAUGGUAAAGACUUGGGCAGUAUGAGGGACAACAUGUCAACAACCGACUAAUGUGAAAUCCAUUAUUGCUCAUCUCUUUCCCUUUCUACAACCGAGUCGAGAAUAUGCUACUACACAUCUGUAAGACGUCGUAUGAAUUAAAAUUGCAGGUGUCUUUAGGAGGUGCAGAGCAAAUUUAUUGGAGAUUCAGGGAAGGCAUUAAAUGCAGAAUGCAUAGCUAUAAGUGAUGCAGUAAAUUAGUGCUGGGAGCUAGAGCUAAAGGAUGUAUUGAUGGAGACAGGCUUGAAAGGAAUAAUUGAAUUUUAUGCUGGAAAU
Molecule: long non-coding RNA, 442 nt
Organism: Papaver somniferum (opium poppy)
Lineage: Eukaryota; Viridiplantae; Streptophyta; Magnoliopsida; Ranunculales; Papaveraceae
Exons: 3
Source: RefSeq, a predicted model, not a curated record